CUCACAGAUAAGACAGCUGAAUGAUAGUCGGGCUGAAGACUCUACUUGACUAGCUGAGAGGAGGUGCAUGGCCGUCGUCAGUUCGUACUGUGAAGCAUCCUGUUAAGUCAGGCAACGAGCGAGACCCACGCCAACAGUUGCCAGCUCGUCCUCCGGGAUGGUGGGGACACUGUUGGGACCGCCUCUGCUAAAGAGGAGGAAGGAAUGGGCAACGGUAGGUCAGCAUGCCCCGAAUUAUCUGGGCUACACGCGGGCUACAAUGGGUGGGACAAUGGGUAUCGACACCGAAAGGUGAAGGCAAUCUCCUAAACCCAUCCGUAGUUCGGAUUGUGGGCUGCAACUCGCCCACAUGAAGCUGGAAUCUGUAGUAAUCGUGUCUCAAAAUGGCACGGUGAAUAUGUCCCUGCUCCUU
RNAcentral lists this ribosomal RNA (412 nucleotides) under uncultured Methanomicrobiales archaeon. Its description in RNAcentral is "bacterial SSU rRNA". It matches the Rfam family "Archaeal small subunit ribosomal RNA", at positions 922 to 1338 of the family's 1478-position model. Lineage: Archaea; Methanobacteriati; Methanobacteriota; Methanomicrobia; Methanomicrobiales. The record is from RNAcentral.